Molecule: ribosomal RNA, 450 nt
Filed under: uncultured bacterium
Lineage: Bacteria
Description: partial 16S ribosomal RNA
Rfam family: Bacterial small subunit ribosomal RNA
Source: RNAcentral
GGCCAGACUCCUACGGGAGGCAGCAGUGGGGGAUAUUGCACAAUGGGGGGAACCCUGAUGCAGCGACGCCGCGUGGGUGAAGGAGCGUUUCGGCGCGUAAAGCCCUAUCGGCAGGGAAGAAGGAGGACGGUACCUGACUAAGAGGCCCCGGCUAACUACGUGCCAGCAGCCGCGGUAAUACGUAGGGGGCAAGCGUUAUCCGGAUUUACUGGGUGUAAAGGGAGCGUAGACGGCAAUGCAAGCCAGAUGUGAAAGCCCGGGGCUCAACCCCGGGACUGCAUUUGGAACUGUGUAGCUGGAGUGUGUGAGAGGAUAGUGGAAUUCCAGGUGUAGGAGUGAAAUCCGUAGAUAUCUGGAGGAACAUCAGUGGCGAAGGCGACUAUCUAGCACAUAACUGACGCUGAGGAGCGAAAGCGUGGGUAGCAAACAGGAUUAGAUACCCCAGUAUAA